UUUCCACCUACGGGUGGCGGCAAUCGUGAAUAUUUCACAAUGGGCGAAAGCCUGAUGGAGCGACGACGCGUGGGGGAUGAAUGGCUUCGGCCCGUAAACUCCUUUCAUUUGCGAUAAAACGUUAUUAUUUAAAAGAUGAUGUCCUGAUAGUAGUGUUAGAGGAAGGAACGGCUAACUCUGUGCCAGCAGGCGCGGUAAUUCAGAGGUCUCAAGUGUUGUUUGGAUUCUUUGGGGGUAAAGGGUGGGUAGGUGGGGAGGUUAGUCGGAUGAGAAAAUUCGAAGGUUAACUUCGAAAAUGCAUUGGAAACUACCUUGCUUGAGGAUUGGAGGGGGGACUGGAAUACUUGGUGUAGCAGUGAAAUGUGUAGAUAUCAAGUGGAACACCAGUGGCGAAGGCGAGUCCCUGGACAAUACCUGACACUGAGGCACGAAAGCUAGGGGAGCAAACAGGAUUAGAUACCCUGGUAGUCCUAGCCGUAAACGGUGCAUGCUUGCUGUAAAAGGAAUCGACCCCUUUUGUGGCGGAGCCAACGC
Molecule: ribosomal RNA, 534 nt
Filed under: uncultured bacterium
Lineage: Bacteria
Description: bacterial SSU rRNA
Rfam family: Bacterial small subunit ribosomal RNA
Source: RNAcentral